Long non-coding RNA from Dermochelys coriacea (leatherback sea turtle), 128 nucleotides. RefSeq lists it as uncharacterized. The transcript is spliced from 2 exons. The record is from RefSeq and is a predicted model, not a curated record. Lineage: Eukaryota; Metazoa; Chordata; Testudines; Dermochelyidae.
CUGUUUACUGCCCCAUCCCCAUUAAUACAUACUCUGGGUUAAUAAAUAAGUAAAAAGCGAUUUUAUUAAAUACAGAAAGUAGGAUUUAAGUCAUUCCAAGUAGUAACAGACAGAACAAAGUGAAUUAC